RNAcentral lists this long non-coding RNA (1796 nucleotides) under Anas platyrhynchos platyrhynchos (common mallard). Its description in RNAcentral is "lncRNA (ENSAPLG00000020467.1)". The record is from RNAcentral. Lineage: Eukaryota; Metazoa; Chordata; Aves; Anseriformes; Anatidae.
AUGUUAGAUCUGGUUAGUUUUAUUCUAACACAGAGGAAAAGAAACCACAACAUUUUUUUUUUUCAGAAGAAAUUUCCCACAGAAACACGAACUGAAACAGACCUUUUGGAAAAGGGUAAUGCAGUCUUCAUAAUGAUCAUUACUUUGACUAUGAGAAUAAGCAAACUGUUAUGGCUGAUCAGCCACUUAAGGAGUUCUGUAAAGAUAAAAUCAUCCUUCAGCUUCAUUCCAUGCUUCCAUCCCAACACAACCAUUAAGACUGGGUUAACCAAGGCUGUUUCACUCACCUCUAAGAAGACGCCCUGCUACUCUCAGAUUUCAAACAGGCCUGGCUUUUCACUUGUCCUAGACUGCUCAGUAACUGUAUUCCAUACAACCUCUUUACUAGAAACAUCGGUAUGCCACGUUAAUAAAGCCAUUUACAAAGUUGCUGUAAAGCUUCAUUUUAACAACAAAGACUGUUCAAUAGAAAAGGCAGAUAAAAAAGAUACAUCCUGCCUCAGUGAGGAAAGUGUGAAACACUUUAAAAAAUUAGAAGGAAAUGCUGAUCUAGACAACACACACAACUUUUAGACAACUCAAUUUUUUCUAGAAAGAGCAAGAAGAGAUCAAGCUAUCGUGAAACUUAAUGUAACAAAACCCAAAUGCAAAACCUUGACACUAGUCACAAAACUUGGUACCUCUCAGAUGCUUGAACCACAGCAGUAUCACGUGGUAUUUUUGAACAGUAUGGCUGAUUCACCUGAGAAGUCUUACAAAGCAACAAGGACAAAAGGUUAGAAUAGGCAGCAAAGAAGAAUUAAUGGCACUGCAAGCAAUGAAUAUGUGUAAAAGAAGAACGUCCUUCAAUGAAGAUGUAAUGUGGAUGGUGGUUGAAACAUUUAAAAUUAGUAAUAACUCUGAGCUUUUGUUGUUUCCAUGAAGUACUAAAAAUAGAGAAGUACUGAUGAACUGUAUUUCUUUUUAGUCAUCCAGAAGAACAAAACGCCUAGGAUCUGUUUGACUACAACGUUAAAACAGAAAAGAGGGGGCAAGAAAAGAAGAACUUCCUGUGUUCUAUGCUUAUGCCUUGCAAGUGAAGUAACAUCUUCAGCAACCAUUGCUGCCAACCCUUUGCCAAAACAUGACUACAGAAUACUUUAAAAGGUUGUCCUUCAAAAGACAGCUACAAUGAUGGUAUGCUGUGUACGGCUCAAAAAGGAUUCAGACCACGGCCCAGAAACUGAGUGAAUGCUCACCUCAGGGUCAAGAGGAAGGCAGUCACGGAGAUCCUAGACCUCAACCAUGUCCAUUUCUUACACAGGCCCAUACUUGGGUCAACGAUCCUGUCACUGAACAGCCCCCUUUUACAAUACCUAGGUUAAGCCCAGCUCUUGAAGACCUCAAGAAAUGGUUUAAAGACCAACCAGUUCUAAACUCUUCAUAGGCUAGUUAGGAAAUUACAAAAGUACUGAAGGUGGCAGACAUUUUGUCUAUGGAAAUGGUGUCCAUCUGGCUGUCCAGUGCCAGAUUUUCAGUCACCUAGAGGAAGAACGUUGGCCUGGAGGAAGUGAUCUUUUGGUCACGAAGAACGGAUGGAUGGGUAAACCGCAUCUCCAAAAGGAAUUUCCAGUCCUUUCUGUACAAAUCACCCAAAUCCCGUAAGUAGAUCGGCAUUUUCUGAACGGAUGCCUCCUGGACAGCGGUCCCAAAACUCGUUUAUCAAAGUAGAAUAUUGAGGGGUGUCUCCGUUUCUGAGAAAUGCUUUUGCAAGUCUUUGGCCAAAAAAAAAUAAAAUAAAAUAGAAGCAAGAGGCA